This 65-nucleotide transfer RNA is filed under the name Anaerosphaera aminiphila DSM 21120. It matches the Rfam family "tRNA", at positions 18 to 71 of the family's 71-position model. Rfam says of the family: Transfer RNA (tRNA) molecules are approximately 80 nucleotides in length. Their secondary structure includes four short double-helical elements and three loops (D, anti-codon, and T loops). The record is from Rfam by way of RNAcentral. Lineage: Bacteria; Bacillati; Bacillota; Tissierellia; Tissierellales; Peptoniphilaceae.
GCCAAAGGGGACGGACUGUAAAUCCGUUAGCUUAGCUUUCAGUGGUUCGAAUCCACUCUCCUCCA